This 1343-nucleotide ribosomal RNA is filed under the name uncultured bacterium. RNAcentral describes it as "16S ribosomal RNA". It matches the Rfam family "Bacterial small subunit ribosomal RNA", at positions 28 to 1378 of the family's 1533-position model. The record is from RNAcentral.
GACGAACGCUGGCGGCGUGCUUAACACAUGCAAGUCGAACGGAAAGGCCCUGCUUUUGUGGGGUGCUCGAGUGGCGAACGGGUGAGUAACACGUGAGUAACCUGCCCUUGACUUUGGGAUAACUUCAGGAAACUGGGGCUAAUACCGGAUAGGAGCUCCUGCUGCAUGGUGGGGGUUGGAAAGUUUCGGCGGUUGGGGAUGGACUCGCGGCUUAUCAGCUUGUUGGUGGGGUAGUGGCUUACCAAGGCUUUGACGGGUAGCCGGCCUGAGAGGGUGACCGGCCACAUUGGGACUGAGAUACGGCCCAGACUCCUACGGGAGGCAGCAGUGGGGAAUAUUGCACAAUGGGCGGAAGCCUGAUGCAGCAACGCCGCGUGCGGGAUGACGGCCUUCGGGUUGUAAACCGCUUUCGCCUGUGACGAAGCGUGAGUGACGGUAAUGGGUAAAGAAGCACCGGCUAACUACGUGCCAGCAGCCGCGGUGAUACGUAGGGUGCGAGCGUUGUCCGGAUUUAUUGGGCGUAAAGGGCUCGUAGGUGGUUGAUCGCGUCGGAAGUGUAAUCUUGGGGCUUAACCCUGAGCGUGCUUUCGAUACGGGUUGACUUGAGGAAGGUAGGGGAGAAUGGAAUUCCUGGUGGAGCGGUGGAAUGCGCAGAUAUCAGGAGGAACACCAGUGGCGAAGGCGGUUCUCUGGGCCUUUCCUGACGCUGAGGAGCGAAAGCGUGGGGAGCGAACAGGCUUAGAUACCCUGGUAGUCUACGCUGUAAACGGUGGGUACUAGGUGUGGGGUCCAUUCCACGGGUUCCGUGCCGUAGCUAACGCUUUAAGUACCCCGCCUGGGGAGUACGGCCGCAAGGCUAAAACUCAAAGGAAUUGACGGGGCCCCGCACAAGCGGCGGAGCAUGCGGAUUAAUUCGAUGCAACGCGUAGAACCUUACCUGGGUUUGACAUGGAUCGGGAGUGCUCAGAGAUGGGUGUGCCUCUUUUGGGGUCGGUUCACAGGUGGUGCAUGACUGUCGUCAGCUCGUGUCGUGAGAUGUUGGGUUAAGUCCCGCAACGAGCGCAACCCUUGUUCACUGUUGCCAGCACGUUAUGGUGGGGACUCAGUGGAGACCGCCGGGGUCAACUCGGAGGAAGGUGGGGAUGACGUCAAGUCAUCAUGCCCCUUAUGUCCAGGGCUUCACGCAUGCUACAAUGGCUGGUACAGAGAGUGGCGAGCCUGUGAGGGUGAGCGAAUCUCGGAAAGCCGGUCUCAGUUCGGAUUGGGGUCUGCAACUCGACCUCAUGAAGUCGGAGUCGCUAGUAAUCGCAGAUCAGCAACGCUGCGGUGAAUACGUUCCCGGG